GUCUACGGCCAUGCCACCCUGAACAAGCCCAAUCCUGUCUGAUCUCGGAAGCUAAGCAAGGUCGGAUCUGGUUAGUACUUGGAUGGGAGACCACCUAGGAAGACUAGGUACUGUAGGCA
Molecule: ribosomal RNA, 119 nt
Filed under: Pteropus alecto (black flying fox)
Lineage: Eukaryota; Metazoa; Chordata; Mammalia; Chiroptera; Pteropodidae
Source: RNAcentral